Molecule: long non-coding RNA, 857 nt
Organism: Sinocyclocheilus grahami
Lineage: Eukaryota; Metazoa; Chordata; Actinopteri; Cypriniformes; Cyprinidae
Exons: 3
Source: RefSeq, a predicted model, not a curated record
CAAAUGUUAGUACGUUGCGCUAGCAAUGCUAAUGUCAUGGGUGAAAAUAUAAAAAAAAACUAUUUACAUUUGCCUGAUAAGAUCUGAGAAUCACCAACAUCCGAUUUAAAACGAGUACCAUGCAAAUUGGGAUGCAGUGUCAGUGUGUUUUAUGUGCCACAGCCAUUAAGACAUUAAAUACAAAAUAGUGUUUUGAAAGACUGGAGUUUGCUAAUACAGGGUGCUGAUGGAUUUAAUGCCCUAGCAGCGCAUUAAGAGUGAAAAGCUCUUGGCUGGCUGUAGAGGGCACGGUGGCCAUGACAACUGAUUGUAAUGCAUUGUGUCAUGUUGUCAGGGCUGCAAUUACAGUGAUAGUCCCACCCCAGGGCAAGAGGUUGUAGAUUCUCUCUGUAAUUUAGUAAAAAGUGGCUCUCCAGCCCCAUGUGCAACACAUAAAUUAUUCCCCUGGACAGACUUUGAUGGAGAGAAAGCUCACAUCAUUCAUGCUGUUUAGUUGAACUCUGGGAUAAAUUAACAUGGAAAACUUGUAAAUUAACUAAGACUUUCAACCGAUUUGAAAAUGUAUUCACAAUUAAUAUCACAAGUUAAUAUGUUAAUGCAUGCAGUUCCAUUUUUAAAGGAAAACAAAUGAUUUUCUCACCUGAAAGUAAGGUUCACGGUCACAGCGGAGUAUAAGUGCAAACUGAACAAUGCCAAUGAACUGCUUUGAAAUGAGAAUGACAGCAGCAGCGAGCAGUUCAUUUCUCCUCCGCACCUGCAUUCUCAGCAUUCAGCCUCUGUAUUCAUGCGGUGUGGCUCCUGAUUGCGACAGAUAAAAUUAAUGGCCCAUACAGGAGAUAACAGCUCCUUUCUGUUUU